The sequence is a small nucleolar RNA, 209 nucleotides long. Its record names the gene U3. It matches the Rfam family "Small nucleolar RNA U3". Rfam says of the family: Small nucleolar RNAs (snoRNAs) are involved in the processing and modification of rRNA in the nucleolus. There are two main classes of snoRNAs: the box C/D class, and the box H/ACA class. U3 snoRNA is a member of the box C/D class. The record is from Ensembl.
AAGACUAUACUUGUAGGGCUCAGAUAUGGAUCAUUAGCAGAGAAGUUUCUGUGACUGUGUAGAAUACCAGAGAACACAGUGGUGAAAGGUAGCAUUCCCUGCUGAGUGUGAAGCUGGUUCUUGGUCUUGCAUUUCUGCAGCCCUUUGCCAUUGUUGGUUUUUCUUCUCUUCUUUUGGGAGAGAGGAAAAGGAAAGGCAGUUUGAGUGGA